GAGCAAGACAACAAUCAUAAGAAGAAGCCCAAAAAGAAGAAAGCCUCCCAUAAAUGACCCGAAUGCCUUGUGUUUACUCCAUUGCGUGUUUUGUUUUGAUGCUUUGUUUUUUAGUUUUUGUGUUUUGAUUAUAUGUAUGAGAAGAAAACACAAACCAGAAAACAUAUUGCGUUGCGUUUGUAUAAUAAGUGAUAACUGAUGAACGAUCGUUUUUU
Molecule: non-coding RNA, 215 nt
Filed under: Foraminifera environmental sample
Lineage: Eukaryota; Foraminifera
Source: RNAcentral